UAGGGAAUCUUCCACAAUGGACGCAAGUCUGAUGGAGCAACGCCGCGUGAGUGAAGAGGGUUUUCGGACCGUAAAGCUCUGUUGUUGGUGAAGAAGGAUAGAGGUAGUAACUGGCCUUUAUUUGACGGUAAUCAACCAGAAAGUCACGGCUAACUACGUGCCAGCAGCCGCGGUAAUACGUAGGUGGCAAGCGUUGUCCGGAUUUAUUGGGCGUAAAGCGAGCGCAGGCGGAAGAAUAAGUCUGAUGUGAAAGCCCUCGGCUUAACCGAGGAAUUGCAUCGGAAACUGUUUUUCUUGAGUGCAGAAGAGGAGAGUAGAACUCCAUGUGUAGCGGUGGAAUGCGUAGAUAUAUGGAAGAAUACCAGUGGCGAAGGCGGCUCUCUGGUCUGCAACUGACGCUGAGGCUCGAAAGCAUGGGUAGCGAACAGGAUUAGAUACCCUUGGUAGUCCAUGCCG
Molecule: ribosomal RNA, 456 nt
Filed under: uncultured bacterium
Lineage: Bacteria
Description: partial 16S ribosomal RNA
Rfam family: Bacterial small subunit ribosomal RNA
Source: RNAcentral